This 688-nucleotide ribosomal RNA is filed under the name uncultured bacterium. RNAcentral describes it as "bacterial SSU rRNA". It matches the Rfam family "Bacterial small subunit ribosomal RNA", at positions 130 to 835 of the family's 1533-position model. The record is from RNAcentral.
CUCAUACAGGGGGAUAACAGUUAGAAAUGACUGCUAAUACCGCAUAAGCGCACAGGACCGCAUGGUCCGGUGUGAAAAACUCCGGUGGUAUGGGAUGGAUCCGCGUCUGAUUAGCUGGUUGGUGAGGUAACGGCCCACCAAGGCGACGAUCAGUAGCCGACCUGAGAGGGUGGCCGGCCACAUUGGGACUGAGACACGGCCCAAACUCCUACGGGAGGCAGCAGUGGGGAAUAUUGCACAAUGGGGGAAACCCUGAUGCAGCAACGCCGCGUGAGUGAAGAAGUAUUUCGGUAUGUAAAGCUCUAUCAGCAGGGAAGAAGAAAGACGGUACCUGACUAAGAAGCCCCGGCUAACUACGUGCCAGCAGCCGCGGUAAUACGUAGGGGGCAAGCGUUAUCCGGAUUUACUGGGUGUAAAGGGAGCGUAGACGGCUGUGCAAGUCUGAAGUGAAAGCCCGUGGCUCAACCGCGGAACUGCUUUGGAAACUGUAUAGCUUGAGUACUGGAGAGGCAGGCGGAAUUCCUAGUGUAGCGGUGAAAUGCGUAGAUAUUAGGAGGAACACCAGUGGCGAAGGCGGCCUGCUGGACAGAAACUGACGUUGAGGCUCGAAAGCGUGGGGAGCAAACAGGAUUAGAUACCCUGGUAGUCCACGCGGUAAACGAUGAAUGCUAGGUGUUGGGGAGCAAAG